This 500-nucleotide ribosomal RNA is filed under the name uncultured Glomeromycotina. RNAcentral describes it as "partial small subunit ribosomal RNA". It matches the Rfam family "Eukaryotic small subunit ribosomal RNA", at positions 591 to 1092 of the family's 1831-position model. The record is from RNAcentral. Lineage: Eukaryota; Fungi; Glomeromycota.
CCAAUAGCGUAUAUUAAAGUUGUUGCAGUUAAAAAGCUCGUAGUUGAAUUUCGGGGUCAGUAGGUUGGUCGUGCCACCGGUACGUACUGGUCUCACUGAUUCCUACUUUCUGAUGAACUGUAAUGCCAUUAAUUUGGUGUUGCGGGGAAUCUGGACUGUUACUUUGAAAAAAUUAGAGUGUUUAAAGCAGGCUCACGCUUGAAUACAUUAGCAUGGAAUAAUGAAAUAGGACGUUCGAUCCUAUUUUGUUGGUUUCUAGGAUUGACGUAAUGAUUAAUAGGGAUAGUUGGGGGCAUUAGUAUUCAAUUGUCAGAGGUGAAAUUCUUGGAUUUAUUGAAGACUAACUACUGCGAAAGCAUUUGCCAAGGAUGUUUUCAUUAAUCAAGAACGAAAGUUAGGGGAUCGAAGACGAUCAGAUACCGUCGUAGUCUUAACCAUAAACUAUGCCGACUAGGGAUCGGAUGAUGUUAAUUUUUUAAUGACUCAUUCGGCGCCUUACG